Molecule: unclassified non-coding RNA, 325 nt
Filed under: uncultured fungus
Lineage: Eukaryota; Fungi
Description: partial contains 5.8S ribosomal RNA and internal transcribed spacer 2
Rfam family: 5.8S ribosomal RNA (bases 1-133)
Source: RNAcentral
UGGUUCCGGCAUNGAUGAAGAACGCAGCGAAAUGCGAUAAGUAAUGUGAAUUGCAGAAUUCAGUGAAUCAUCGAGUCUUUGAACGCACAUUGCGCCCUCUGGUAUUCCGGAGGGCAUGCCUGUCCGAGCGUCAUUACUGCCCUCAAGCCCGGCUUGGUGUUGGGUGCCGUCCCCUUGGGACGCGCCUGAAAGGCAGCGGCGGCACUGCGUCUGGUCCUCGAGCGUAUGGGGCUUUGUCACCCGCUCCGUAGGUCCAGCCAGCGCCUGUCGAACCCCCCAUCAUCCUUCUUAGGUUGACCUCGGAUCAGGUAGGGAUACCCGCUGA